Long non-coding RNA from Ixodes scapularis (black-legged tick), 207 nucleotides. RefSeq lists it as uncharacterized. The transcript has 3 exons. The record is from RefSeq and is a predicted model, not a curated record. Lineage: Eukaryota; Metazoa; Arthropoda; Arachnida; Ixodida; Ixodidae.
GCUCGGACUCAGAUGAUGAUCCUCUGGGUCUUCUUCAGGAUCCAAGUGAUCCUGACUACCGUCCAAACUACUCAGACGAUGAAGAGGCCCCAGGAACUGGCGCAGCACCUGAUGAAAGUGAAGCAGCCGCCGACAAGUACAUCGUGUUUGGGUCUUGCCUCAAGAAGCUCCUGAAGCGGUGCUCGGAUUGCUUCUCCAUGAACACCC